RNAcentral lists this ribosomal RNA (484 nucleotides) under uncultured bacterium. RNAcentral's name for it is "partial 16S ribosomal RNA". It matches the Rfam family "Bacterial small subunit ribosomal RNA", at positions 30 to 507 of the family's 1533-position model. The record is from RNAcentral.
AUUGAACGCUGGCGGCAGGCCUAACACAUGCAAGUCGAGCGGAUGAAGGGAGCUUGCUCCUGGAUUCAGCGGCGGACGGGUGAGUAAUGCCUAGGAAUCUGCCUGGUAGUGGGGGAUAACGUCCGGAAACGGGCGCUAAUACCGCAUACGUCCUGAGGGAGAAAGUGGGGGAUCUUCGGACCUCACGCUCUCAGAUGAGCCUAGGCCGGAUUAGCUAGUUGGUGGGGUAAAGGCCUACCAAGGCGACGAUCCGUAACUGGUCUGAGAGGAUGAUCAGUCACACUGGAACUGAGACACGGUCCAGACUCCUACGGGAGGCAGCAGUGGGGAAUAUUGGACAAUGGGCGAAAGCCUGAUCCAGCCAUGCCGCGUGUGUGAAGAAGGUCUUCGGAUUGUAAAGCACUUUAAGUUGGGAGGAAGGGCAGUAAGUUAAUACCUUGCUGUUUUGACGUUACCAACAGAAUAAGCACCGGCUAACUUCGUG